GAUGAACGCUGGCGGCGUGCUUAACACAUGCAAGUCGAACGGUGAAAGCGGAGCUUGCUCUGCUGGAUCAGUGGCGAACGGGUGAGUAACACGUGAGCAACCUGCCCCGGACUCUGGGAUAACAGUUGGAAACAGCUGCUAAUACCGGAUACGAGCUGCGAAGGCAUCUUCAGCAGCUGGAAAGAACUUCGGUCUGGGAUGGGCUCGCGGCCUAUCAGCUUGUUGGUGAGGUAAUGGCUCACCAAGGCGUCGACGGGUAGCCGGCCUGAGAGGGUGACCGGCCACACUGGGACUGAGACACGGCCCAGACUCCUACGGGAGGCAGCAGUGGGGAAUAUUGCACAAUGGGCGCAAGCCUGAUGCAGCAACGCCGCGUGAGGGAUGACGGCCUUCGGGUUGUAAACCUCUUUUAGUAAGGAAGAAGGGGAGCUUGCUCCUUGACGGUACUUGCAGAAAAAGGACCGGCUAACUACGUGCCAGCAGCCGCUGUAAAAC
Molecule: ribosomal RNA, 495 nt
Filed under: uncultured bacterium
Lineage: Bacteria
Description: bacterial SSU rRNA
Rfam family: Bacterial small subunit ribosomal RNA
Source: RNAcentral